GCUGCUUCUCGGCCUUCUGGCUAAGAUCAUGCGUAGUAUCUGUUCUUAUCGGUUUAAUAUCUGAUACAUCUUUGAUGAGAGGACUUUAUAUCAUCCUGGCAUGGAAGUACCUCCU
Molecule: small nuclear RNA, 115 nt
Filed under: Callipepla squamata (scaled quail)
Lineage: Eukaryota; Metazoa; Chordata; Aves; Galliformes; Odontophoridae
Description: U2 spliceosomal RNA
Rfam family: U2 spliceosomal RNA
About the family: U2 is a small nuclear RNA (snRNA) component of the spliceosome (involved in pre-mRNA splicing). Complementary binding between U2 snRNA (in an area lying towards the 5' end but 3' to hairpin I) and the branchpoint sequence (BPS) of the intron results the bulging out of an unpaired adenosine, on the BPS, which initiates a nucleophilic attack at the intronic 5' splice site, thus starting the first of two transesterification reactions that mediate splicing.
Source: Rfam by way of RNAcentral